Long non-coding RNA from Tribolium madens (black flour beetle), 883 nucleotides. RefSeq lists it as uncharacterized. NCBI's taxonomy places the organism in Eukaryota, Metazoa, Arthropoda, Insecta, Coleoptera, Tenebrionidae. The record is from RefSeq and is a predicted model, not a curated record. The transcript is spliced from 3 exons.
CUCGGCCAAAAGAGGUCUGUAAGUCUUCACUUGCCGGCAAUUAGCCCGACUUACACCCGAGGUUUUUUCUCCCAUAGGAUUUAUUCCGGAAUGUGAAGAAUCUUCGGCCGACGCUCUCCGUGUCUAGAAAAAUUGUAUCCGAUUUUUAUCGCAUACAGGUCGCUGUUUUUUGUCUGAAAAAACACGGAAACACGUGUUGGCCUAAAAUUAGAACCGGAAACGCACGUGUCGUUUUAUAACCAAACGACCCCAUGAAAAUCGACAGGAGUACAAACUAAAUAAACAAAAAGUGGCUAAUUAGAUAACAGAGCCGGAUUAGGGGCUUAUGUUCGAUAAAACCUCAUCUCCUGAAAGAAAAAAAAACAAACCUCAGCUGACAUUAUUAUUAGACUCUACCGACCGGUGCAAUAAACAGCGGAUAUAGUAAAAAUGUUAUAAAACAAACUCGUCUUUGUGCUUGUGAGAUAAAGCCGCUCGUAAUGUCUUCAUUUUAAAAGGUGGUGCGGCAUAUGUGCGGUUUGUGAGAUAAUUCCUCUUUAUUCGUGACACCUUGUGGAAGGAAAAUUAUCAAGAAUAAACAGCGGCCACGUUCCAAAGUACCCAACUAAAUUCGGAUGCUCGAAAAACAAUGUUUUUUGUAAGUGAUGACAUGAUGAGUUCGCAGAAUCGUUUCCUGUGAAAUCACACCGAAAGAAAUUUGAUUUCCGACAAGAGGCGUCUUGAGGUUUCAGAAUAGAAGUUUGAUUUGGACGAGAGUGCCGGCGUUAGAUUCAAUUUAUGACUCAAUUGUUACUCAUAAGAAUUGGCAUUAAUUUUUUGAAGUGUUUCCGGUAGUCAUAUGUUUUCCGGAAGGAACGGGAGAAAAAACCCCAAGUGAAUAAAU